Molecule: ribosomal RNA, 2902 nt
Filed under: Escherichia coli
Lineage: Bacteria; Pseudomonadati; Pseudomonadota; Gammaproteobacteria; Enterobacterales; Enterobacteriaceae
Also listed under: 6 other names
Description: bacterial LSU rRNA
Rfam family: Bacterial large subunit ribosomal RNA
Source: RNAcentral
UUAAGCGACUAAGCGUACACGGUGGAUGCCCUGGCAGUCAGAGGCGAUGAAGGACGUGCUAAUCUGCGAUAAGCGUCGGUAAGGUGAUAUGAACCGUUAUAACCGGCGAUUUCCGAAUGGGGAAACCCAGUGUGUUUCGACACACUAUCAUUAACUGAAUCCAUAGGUUAAUGAGGCGAACCGGGGGAACUGAAACAUCUAAGUACCCCGAGGAAAAGAAAUCAACCGAGAUUCCCCCAGUAGCGGCGAGCGAACGGGGAGCAGCCCAGAGCCUGAAUCAGUGUGUGUGUUAGUGGAAGCGUCUGGAAAGGCGCGCGAUACAGGGUGACAGCCCCGUACACAAAAAUGCACAUGCUGUGAGCUCGAUGAGUAGGGCGGGACACGUGGUAUCCUGUCUGAAUAUGGGGGGACCAUCCUCCAAGGCUAAAUACUCCUGACUGACCGAUAGUGAACCAGUACCGUGAGGGAAAGGCGAAAAGAACCCCGGCGAGGGGAGUGAAAAAGAACCUGAAACCGUGUACGUACAAGCAGUGGGAGCACGCUUAGGCGUGUGACUGCGUACCUUUUGUAUAAUGGGUCAGCGACUUAUAUUCUGUAGCAAGGUUAACCGAAUAGGGGAGCCGAAGGGAAACCGAGUCUUAACUGGGCGUUAAGUUGCAGGGUAUAGACCCGAAACCCGGUGAUCUAGCCAUGGGCAGGUUGAAGGUUGGGUAACACUAACUGGAGGACCGAACCGACUAAUGUUGAAAAAUUAGCGGAUGACUUGUGGCUGGGGGUGAAAGGCCAAUCAAACCGGGAGAUAGCUGGUUCUCCCCGAAAGCUAUUUAGGUAGCGCCUCGUGAAUUCAUCUCCGGGGGUAGAGCACUGUUUCGGCAAGGGGGUCAUCCCGACUUACCAACCCGAUGCAAACUGCGAAUACCGGAGAAUGUUAUCACGGGAGACACACGGCGGGUGCUAACGUCCGUCGUGAAGAGGGAAACAACCCAGACCGCCAGCUAAGGUCCCAAAGUCAUGGUUAAGUGGGAAACGAUGUGGGAAGGCCCAGACAGCCAGGAUGUUGGCUUAGAAGCAGCCAUCAUUUAAAGAAAGCGUAAUAGCUCACUGGUCGAGUCGGCCUGCGCGGAAGAUGUAACGGGGCUAAACCAUGCACCGAAGCUGCGGCAGCGACGCUUAUGCGUUGUUGGGUAGGGGAGCGUUCUGUAAGCCUGCGAAGGUGUGCUGUGAGGCAUGCUGGAGGUAUCAGAAGUGCGAAUGCUGACAUAAGUAACGAUAAAGCGGGUGAAAAGCCCGCUCGCCGGAAGACCAAGGGUUCCUGUCCAACGUUAAUCGGGGCAGGGUGAGUCGACCCCUAAGGCGAGGCCGAAAGGCGUAGUCGAUGGGAAACAGGUUAAUAUUCCUGUACUUGGUGUUACUGCGAAGGGGGGACGGAGAAGGCUAUGUUGGCCGGGCGACGGUUGUCCCGGUUUAAGCGUGUAGGCUGGUUUUCCAGGCAAAUCCGGAAAAUCAAGGCUGAGGCGUGAUGACGAGGCACUACGGUGCUGAAGCAACAAAUGCCCUGCUUCCAGGAAAAGCCUCUAAGCAUCAGGUAACAUCAAAUCGUACCCCAAACCGACACAGGUGGUCAGGUAGAGAAUACCAAGGCGCUUGAGAGAACUCGGGUGAAGGAACUAGGCAAAAUGGUGCCGUAACUUCGGGAGAAGGCACGCUGAUAUGUAGGUGAAGCGACUUGCUCGUGGAGCUGAAAUCAGUCGAAGAUACCAGCUGGCUGCAACUGUUUAUUAAAAACACAGCACUGUGCAAACACGAAAGUGGACGUAUACGGUGUGACGCCUGCCCGGUGCCGGAAGGUUAAUUGAUGGGGUUAGCGCAAGCGAAGCUCUUGAUCGAAGCCCCGGUAAACGGCGGCCGUAACUAUAACGGUCCUAAGGUAGCGAAAUUCCUUGUCGGGUAAGUUCCGACCUGCACGAAUGGCGUAAUGAUGGCCAGGCUGUCUCCACCCGAGACUCAGUGAAAUUGAACUCGCUGUGAAGAUGCAGUGUACCCGCGGCAAGACGGAAAGACCCCGUGAACCUUUACUAUAGCUUGACACUGAACAUUGAGCCUUGAUGUGUAGGAUAGGUGGGAGGCUUUGAAGUGUGGACGCCAGUCUGCAUGGAGCCGACCUUGAAAUACCACCCUUUAAUGUUUGAUGUUCUAACGUUGACCCGUAAUCCGGGUUGCGGACAGUGUCUGGUGGGUAGUUUGACUGGGGCGGUCUCCUCCUAAAGAGUAACGGAGGAGCACGAAGGUUGGCUAAUCCUGGUCGGACAUCAGGAGGUUAGUGCAAUGGCAUAAGCCAGCUUGACUGCGAGCGUGACGGCGCGAGCAGGUGCGAAAGCAGGUCAUAGUGAUCCGGUGGUUCUGAAUGGAAGGGCCAUCGCUCAACGGAUAAAAGGUACUCCGGGGAUAACAGGCUGAUACCGCCCAAGAGUUCAUAUCGACGGCGGUGUUUGGCACCUCGAUGUCGGCUCAUCACAUCCUGGGGCUGAAGUAGGUCCCAAGGGUAUGGCUGUUCGCCAUUUAAAGUGGUACGCGAGCUGGGUUUAGAACGUCGUGAGACAGUUCGGUCCCUAUCUGCCGUGGGCGCUGGAGAACUGAGGGGGGCUGCUCCUAGUACGAGAGGACCGGAGUGGACGCAUCACUGGUGUUCGGGUUGUCAUGCCAAUGGCACUGCCCGGUAGCUAAAUGCGGAAGAGAUAAGUGCUGAAAGCAUCUAAGCACGAAACUUGCCCCGAGAUGAGUUCUCCCUGACUCCUUGAGAGUCCUGAAGGAACGUUGAAGACGACGACGUUGAUAGGCCGGGUGUGUAAGCGCAGCGAUGCGUUGAGCUAACCGGUACUAAUGAACCGUGAGGCUUAACCUU